RNAcentral lists this ribosomal RNA (647 nucleotides) under uncultured bacterium. RNAcentral's name for it is "partial 16S ribosomal RNA". The record is from RNAcentral.
UUCGCCACUGGUGUUCCUUCCUAUAUCUACGCAUUUCACCGCUACACAGGAAAUUCCACCACCCUCUACCGUACUCUAGCUUGCCAGUUUUGGAUGCAGUUCCCAGGUUGAGCCCGGGGCUUUCACAUCCAACUUAACAAACCACCUACGCGCGCUUUACGCCCAGUAAUUCCGAUUAACGCUUGCACCCUCUGUAUUACCGCGGCUGCUGGCACGUAGUUAGCCGGCGCUUCUUCUGCAAGUACCGUCACCCCCAAAGGGGGCUUCUUCCCUACUGAAAGAGGUUUACAACCCGAAGGCCGUCAUCCCUCACGCGGCGUCGCUGCAUCAGGCUUGCGCCCAUUGUGCAAUAUUCCCCACUGCUGCCUCCCGUAGGAGUCUGGGCCGUGUCUCAGUCCCAGUGUGGCCGGUCACCCUCUCAGGCCGGCUACCCGUCGUCGCCUUGGUAGGCCAUUACCCCACCAACUAGCUAAUCCGACCUAGGCUCAUCUGAUAGCGCAAGGCCCGAAGGUCCCCUGCUUUCUCCCGUAGGACGUAUGCGGUAUUAGCGUUCCUUUCGAAACGUUGUCCCCCACUACCAGGCAGAUUCCUAGGCAUUACUCACCCGUCCGCCGCUGAAUCAAGGAGCAAGCUCCCGUCAUCCGCUC